GCAAGUCGAGCGGUAGCACAGAGAGCUUGCUCUCGGGUGACGAGCGGCGGACGGGUGAGUAAUGUCUGGGAAACUGCCUGAUGGAGGGGGAUAACUACUGGAAACGGUAGCUAAUACCGCAUAAUGUCGCAAGACCAAAGAGGGGGACCUUCGGGCCUCUUGCCAUCAGAUGUGCCCAGAUGGGAUUAGCUAGUAGGUGGGGUAACGGCUCACCUAGGCGACGAUCCCUAGCUGGUCUGAGAGGAUGACCAGCCACACUGGAACUGAGACACGGUCCAGACUCCUACGGGAGGCAGCAGUGGGGAAUAUUGCACAAUGGGCGCAAGCCUGAUGCAGCCAUGCCGCGUGUAUGAAGAAGGCCUUCGGGUUGUAAAGUACUUUCAGCGGGGAGGAAGGUGUUGAGGUUAAUAACCUCAGCAAUUGACGUUACCCGCAGAAGAAGCACCGGCUAACUCCGUGCCAGCAGCCGCGGUAAUACGGAGGGUGCAAGCGUUAAUCGGAAUUACUGGGCGUAAAGCGCACGCAGGCGGUCUGUCAAGUCGGAUGUGAAAUCCCCGGGCUCAACCUGGGAACUGCAUUCGAAACUGGCAGGCUAGAGUCUUGUAGAGGGGGGUAGAAUUCCAGGUGUAGCGGUGAAAUGCGUAGAGAUCUGGAGGAAUACCGGUGGCGAAGGCGGCCCCCUGGACAAAGACUGACGCUCAGGUGCGAAAGCGUGGGGAGCAAACAGGAUUAGAUACCCUGGUAGUCCACGCCGUAAACGAUGUCGACUUGGAGGUUGUGCCCUUGAGGAGUGGCUUCCGGAGCUAACGCGUUAAGUCGACCGCCUGGGGAGUACGGCCGCAAGGUUAAAACUCAAAUGAAUUGACGGGGGCCCGCACAAGCGGUGGAGCAUGUGGUUUAAUUCGAUGCAACGCGAAGAACCUUACCUACUCUUGACAUCCAGAGAACUUUCCAGAGAUGGAUUGGUGCCUUCGGGAACUCUGAGACAGGUGCUGCAUGGCUGUCGUCAGCUCGUGUUGUGAAAUGUUGGGUUAAGUCCCGCAACGAGCGCAACCCUUAUCCUUUGUUGCCAGCGGUCCGGCCGGGAACUCAAAGGAGACUGCCAGUGAUAAACUGGAGGAAGGUGGGGAUGACGUCAAGUCAUCAUGGCCCUUACGAGUAGGGCUACACACGUGCUACAAUGGCGCAUACAAAGAGAAGCGACCUCGCGAGAGCAAGCGGACCUCAUAAAGUGCGUCGUAGUCCGGAUUGGAGUCUGCAACUCGACUCCAUGAAGUCGGAAUCGCUAGUAAUCGUAGAUCAGAAUGCUACGGUGAAUACGUUCCCGGGCCUUGUACACACCGCCCGUCACACCAUGGGAGUGGGUUGCAAAAGAAGUAGGUAGCUUAACCUUCGGGAGGGCGC
Molecule: ribosomal RNA, 1404 nt
Filed under: bacterium
Lineage: Bacteria
Description: bacterial SSU rRNA
Rfam family: Bacterial small subunit ribosomal RNA
Source: RNAcentral